GCUGUUAUAGCUCAGCCGGUAGAGCACGUCAUUGGUAAUGACGAGGUCAGCAGUUCGAGCCUGCUUAACAGCUCCA
This 76-nucleotide transfer RNA is filed under the name Oscillospiraceae bacterium. Its description in RNAcentral is "tRNA-Thr". It matches the Rfam family "tRNA". Rfam says of the family: Transfer RNA (tRNA) molecules are approximately 80 nucleotides in length. The record is from RNAcentral. Lineage: Bacteria; Bacillati; Bacillota; Clostridia; Eubacteriales; Oscillospiraceae.